Molecule: ribosomal RNA, 460 nt
Filed under: uncultured bacterium
Lineage: Bacteria
Description: partial 16S ribosomal RNA
Rfam family: Bacterial small subunit ribosomal RNA
Source: RNAcentral
CCUACGGGAGGCUGCAGUGAGGAAUAUUGGUCAAUGGGCUUACGCCUGAACCAGCCAAGUCGCGUGAGGGAAGACUGCCCUAUGGGUUGUAAACCUCUUUUGUCAGGGAGCAACGCCGGCUACGUGUAGCCGGACUGAGAGUCCCUGCAGACAAAGCAUCGGCUAACUCCGUGCCAGCAGCCGCGGUAAUACGGAGGAUGCGAGCGUUAUCCGGAUUUAUUGGGUUUAAAUGGUGCGUAGGCGGAAUGCCAAGUCAGCGGUAAACGCGCGGGGCUCAACCUCGCUCCGCCGUUGAUACUGGCGUGCGUGAGGGGGCGAGAAGUAUGCGGAAUGCGUGGUGUAGCGGUGAAAGGCAUAGAUAUCACGCAGAACUCCGAUUGCGAAGGCAGCAUACCGGCGCCCAACUGACGCUGAAGCACGAAAGCGUGGGUAUCGAACAGGAUUAGAUACCCGAGUAGUC